Molecule: long non-coding RNA, 825 nt
Filed under: Gallus gallus (chicken)
Lineage: Eukaryota; Metazoa; Chordata; Aves; Galliformes; Phasianidae
Description: lncRNA (ENSGALG00010000545.1)
Source: RNAcentral
CUCUGGUUGGAGGUCCCUCCUUGGUGGAGCUUUUUGCUGUGAACCUGGAAUCUUCUGAUACAGGUGGGAGAUCCGCAGUCUAUUCACCUGUUUCUCACACGGAUGUCAUUUCAUACCCUUCAUCAUCUCCCCUGCCCGGUUCUGUUUUCUUCCCAGUUUUACAACAGCCUUUCUGAGAUGGGGAGAUCAGGAUUGCAGAGAACAUUCAAGAAGUGAAUACGCCGUGGGUUUACACAGCAGCACAGAGGAAUCUCCAUAUCCAAUUAAGAGUGGGGGACACCACAAAGGUCUACAGUGGUCACCAGGGAUGCAUGUCAGGCAUGUGCAGCAUGUUAUGGAAUCAUCUGCAAGGAGAUAGAAGACCAUGCAGAAACAAAGACAACCCCAGAGAAAGGUUCCCCAUUGCAGUGCUGGGCAGUGCAUGCUCCCUAGAUCUGCUCCAUGAUGCUCUGAGGUUGUAAUUGUGGCAAUCUUGGGUGUGUUUUAUUCUGAUUUCCUACGGACAGCAUAGAUAAACACAAAAUGAGGGAAGCCUGAAGUUCAGGCCUCUGAGCAUUCCCAAAUGCCCAAAGAAGAGAAGACCUGAAGUUUAUUGUUGUUUCUUUCUGCCCUUCUCAAACACCUCAUGCUCCAACUCAGCAGCAACUUGGUGUGCUUAAAGCACGUUAUACCAAACUUAAGGGAAAGUACUUACAACUCGUGAACUUGCUUUGAGUUUGGGCACCAAUGUCUGGUAUUCAGAAGGAUUUCAAACACAUCUGAAGUCGUGACUCUUCCCUUCAGAGUCUGACAGUGGUAUUAAUGCAGUUCUCCCCACCAUGUAAU